CAGCAUCAUAAUUGCCUUAGAGACCAAAGUCACUUCCCUUCCACUGGAAUCUGGCUUGUAAAAACAGAAGAAAAUUAUAUACCAAAGUUCUCCAUUUAGAUUUUUAGGAUCCCUACUUUAAUAACCUUUGUUUUUAUUCUACCAGACGUAAUCAAAGCCAACCAAGUCAAUUUAAAUUAGGAGGGGCAAGGUACAUCCAAGCCCCAGAAACCCUGGAACGAAUGUACUGUAAAACAGGAAGAGAUCCCUCACCUUGAUUAUAACAAUAUAAUUAUAGCAGACGUCAUGUGUCAAUCAAAUAAUACACACCUGAUUUUUUUCUAAUCUAGAAGAGGAGUGAAGCAUAUUUUUAAUUAUAGCCCUUUUUAAAAAUAUCCCUUAAGUGUGUUAUGCUUGGUAAAUUAACUUUUAGAAGAAUGAAACAUACCUUACAUAACUUAAUAUGUGACAACUACCUGCAACAAUUGCCCUCUCCCAAUGAAGCCCAUCUUCCAAAAUCCAUCUUAUAUUUUUCAUUUCUUAGAAGCUAGAUAGGCUCAACUAUAUCUUUUGAAUGUCAAUAAAAUCUGAUUUUGUCCAUGUGUUGUUUAAAAUAUUCUCUAAUCUUACAGAACAAUGAAAAACAGCAUAAAAAAUCUGAGAGGAAGUAUUUAAAACAUCACUUUGUUGGGAAUGACUAUGUUCUGGACGUUAAAAAACUACCAGCUUGCUAAGAGCAAAUGCUCCAAGGCUCUUACGAAAAAAUGCUGGAGAGCAGUAUUACGACAUCCAUGAUGUCCACAUAAGGUGUCCUAGGUUGUAACAGAAUAGUGCCAAGCAGGUAAAAAUUACUCAAAGAAUUUUUAUUCUUUCCAAAAUUGUAAUCAAAUAAAUUUAAUAAACAAUAUUUAUUAGAAGUACCUAGAUCAGGGGCCAGCCCCACGGCCUAGUGGUUAAGUUUGGUGCACUCUGCUUUGGCAGCCCCAGGUUCAGAUCCCUGGCAUGGACCUACACCACUCGUCAGCCAUGCUGUGGCAGUGACCCAUUCAUAAAGUGGAGGAAGAUUGGCACAAAUGACAGCUCAGCACGAAUCUUCCUCAAGCAAAAAGAGGACGACUGGCAACAGAUGUUAGCUCAGGGUGAAUCUUCCUCAGCAAAAACAAAAAUCCAGUUGACCAAACAACUACAUAGAUCAUGGAAGUAUUUUUAACUAUAUAAGCAAUCUCUGGGAUGUGAGUUCAUAGCCUGAACUCAACCAAGUGAAGUCCCUGCAGAGACAGUUGCUUCUGUUGCGGGGAGGGGAUGGAAAGGUUAGAGUCCUAAAUUGACAGUGACAUGAUGGCAGGAGUGAGUCAAGAGUAAGCGACAAGAAAGAUUGGUCCUAAGGAGGCAGCUGAGAGAAGGGAAGCUCAUGGGCUCACUGAGCUGUACCAUCAGGGCUUGGUGCCUUUCAGAGAGGUGAAGGAAGAGGACUGAACAAGGAUUCAGGUAAGAUUCCCUAGUGCAGAGGGAAUUUUUCAAAGGGUUACACGAAGAGAAAAAUCAGAAAGCUUGGAGCAUAAUUAGAAAGCUGGGAAGUUAUUCUAAGGAAGGAAACAUCUGGGCUGUGUGUGCUGUUGGGGAAGGGGAUUCUGAGCUGGUUACUGAUAUUUAAUCACCUGUACUACUUAGGUUUGCCAAGUCUGAGUGGGGUGGAAUGUCUGACAGACACUCCAGAUGAGGGGAAAAAAGACCCAGAGAUCAAAUUAGUUUGUGAAUCCCAGAGUGGGAUGGAGACAUUGUGACACAAUGUUAAGAGCAUGAGCUCUGGAAAUCAGACAGAUUUGUGUGAUGGUUAAUUUGUUUGUUAACUUGACUGGGCCACAGGGUAGCCAGAUAUUUGAUCAAACAUUAUUCUGGGUGUUUCUGUGAGAGUGUUUUUGGAUGAGACUAACAUUUAAAAUGGUACACUAAAUAAGGUAGACUGCCCUCCAUAAUGAAGGGCCUCAACCUUCCUGCCUGAUGGCCUUUGAAAUGGGACAUUGGCUUUUUCCUGCCUUUGGACUCGGAAUAGAACUACACCAUCAGCUCUCCUGGGUCCCCAGCUUGCCGACUCACCCUGCAGAUCUUGGGACUUGUCAACCUUCAUAAGUGCGUGAGCCAACCCAUUAUAAUAAAUCUCUUUAUACAUAACUCUUAUAUAUGUUACAGAUGUGUGUGUAUAUAUAUAUAUAUUAUAUAUACACACACAUCUUAUUGGUAACAUGUUAUUGGUUCCGUUUCUCUGGAGAACCUAAUACAGCCUGGGUUCAAAAUCAUGGCUGCUUCUUAAGAGCCACAUGACCUUAAGCAAAGCCCCUUAACCUCCCUGAGCCUAUAAAAUGGAAAUAAUAAUCCAUUUAGCAUUGGAUUGUAAUAAGGAUUAACUGAAAUAAUUUCAUAAAGCAAUGAGCACAGGGCCUGGCACGUGCUCAAUAAAUUGUUGAGUAAUUUGUUGCUGUUAAUUUUAUUAUUAUUAUAGAAGGCUCUCUUUUGAAAAAAAAUCCAGGUGGAACAGGGCCUAAAGACGUAUUCUUGAUGAGGAGGAUGGUAUGAAAAUCAGUAGGAAUUGUCAAAGCCUAACUUAGCCCACAGCAGUGUCCCUUGCUCUUUCCUUCUCGUCUUCUCUCCUAUUCUCAUGAAAGCUACUUUCUGUGUUUCAUCACACUCGUAACUCUUGGUACGGAAAAACCCAGCUGAACCGCUUUCUAAAACCCUAAUUAAAAUCUUGUUAAAAAUCUUCCAAAUACACAUCACUCUUUCUUGACUUAAUUAAUUAAACAUAGAAUAUAAAAAUCUGGACCUUCUGAUUUAGGAUUUUGCAAAGGUCCUAGGCUAUUACUGAAAAUAUCAGUAAUAACUGUAACAUACCAUAUAUUUAUUUCCAAAACUAAAUCUCCGAUAGCAACUUAAUUUGCUGUCAUUAGCCUUUCACAAAAUUGAGUGUGGCAUCAAUUCCAGUUUGCAAAAAGUUCUGGCUAGUAAAACUCGACUGUAAAAGUCCCCUCUCUUUGACAAUGGUGACAUCUAAGGAAAAGAAUAAGUACAACCUCUUCAUUUGAUAUCCUUAAAUGUUCUCUCAGGGUAGACAUGAAGAAUCACCGUGCAGAAACUGAUUCUAUUUCAAAUGUACACGUUCCAUUCAGCAACCGGUCUUAACUACCAACAGAAGCAGGAGAGGUUCUAAAACGCCUAUCUUUUAAAAAAAGUGAAGACUAGCCAAGCCCUCUGUGACAAGAACCUGACUAAUGUCAGUGUGUGGAUUCCAGUUAUGGCCUGGAUUGCUGGACAAAGUACUAUCAUCUUGAAUCUAAAAGUACACCACACUACUUAGAUCCCAAAUAAUUGAGAGUUUGGUUGUUGGUUUUAAUUUUCCUUGGCUCCUUCCUCACGCGUGGUGGAGGUGGUGGGAAAGGUUAGGGCGGGCUUGGAAAAGGAGGAGAGUGUGUCCCCUAGAGCAGCAAUAAACGUCUGCAGAGCAAUCCUCUCAACUAUAAAAAACUCUUCCUUCCCAAAAAGUGCAAUCUGGUUUGAGAAACCGACAUUAAUUCAACAAAACACUACAAAAAAAUGUAGCUCUUAUUACAUGCUAGCACUGUUCUACAAGCUAGAGAUACAAAGACAGACAAAAAGAUGCUAAAGAUACAAAGUUCACAGCCCCAAGAGCUUAAGUCUAGUGGGAGGAACAAACCUGUAUUCAACCACAACACAGUGAACAAUAGCUGAGUAACAGAUGGAGCUCAAACAGAGCAGGUAAGACUCGGGGCAGGAAGACUACAGAAGCGCUAACAGGCUGCCUACAGGAUGCAGGUGGCCCAUUCCGAGGUUAAGUAUUUUUUUAAGGAAAAACUCAACUUCCGGACUAAAAACCCUAAGUUCUGAACGUGAGGGCUUUUAUGUUAAGGCUCUUAUACAUUAUACACACACACAAUAAUAACCCCCCCCCACAGGGAAAUUAGCUCAUUUUCAGAACAUGAUUCACCAUCAUUCACACCUGCUCAAUUUAAGACCCUCCCCAAACAGGCAUUACAGUGAAGACAAUGUGGUAGCAACCGUGCAAAACCUAGGACAAAGAGACUUCUGUUGCUUUAUGAACAAUAUAAAGCAGUACGCAUACUUCUGGAUGUAUUUAAUUAUUAGACUGUCAGUCCUUUUUACACUGUGUUAAGAUGGAUACUGAAUGCAGAAUAAAGCCCUAAACACUUGCAGUUUUCAUAUUUAAAUCAGGAAAAAAUCUCCAAUUUACAAAGGCUAAUGUCUAUUUUUGGAAAACAAACGAAAAUUACACAUCUGGAUUUACAGAUUUCUGCUAUCCAUUCAUGUCAGGAUCCCCAAAGCCACCUUUAUUCCACAACUAACUUUCCACCCUUUCUUUCUAAGGGCAUACCAAGUUGUUUUUUUUUAAGGUUAUAGCUUUCGAAAACUGGAAAUAGAAAUUUUUAACCGCCCAACAGUUGGAAAAGGUUCUCAUACUACCCUUUGACAUUUCCAAUUUAUCACUGUAUUUAAUACUUUUUUUUUUGGUACCAUCCAACACCCUUCAUCUAACAAGGUCCAAGGCUUCCUGAACACUGCUUUGUAAGCUGCCUCGCAGACAAACCCUGUGAAACCUGAGGUCGCCACACCAGCGGCAGGAUGCAGGUCACUGGACCACGGCAGCCCACUCUGCAGUCAACAGUGCGGGUCACUUUACGCUGACAGAGCUGCUCUCCAGCACCUCCCCCGGCACACACACACCCAAAGCACAGGAGAGUGUCCAUUUCACAAGGUGUCCGGCACUGCUUUCCUUAAAACGAAGCUUCUAUCUGGAAGGUCACCUUGGUCCCCGCGCGGCUCGGGACCGAGCGCCUGGGCUCUGUGACAUCAGCGUUGGCUUCUCAACCGCUGACCUUCAGGCCCCAGAGCUUGGCCCGACCCUAGAACGGCCACCGCCCUUCACACCGCGGAGGGCGGCGUCCCUCCCACCGCCGCGCCGAAUUCGGGCUUGGCGACUCGCUGGGGGGUCCCGGGCGCCCCCCACCCGCCCCGACGGCCAAGCGCCCGGAGCCCGCCCCACGGCCGCCCCUGAGGGCUGUCGUCCCGACAGGCUCGGUCCACUCCGCCCGCCGAGCCCUCGCCGAGCCCCGCUGCUGUGCUGACUUCAGCCCACAUCGCACCCCAGCCACCAGGGAACUUUCCAGAACGUUGGCCCUCUCUGGGAAGUCCCGAGUCGCCAUCCAGGAGGGAGCGCCCACCUGAGGCCUGGCGGGCUCGGGGCCGGGCCGCACGCGGAGCGCACCCUUCGGGCCCAGCCUCCGGAAGCGCUAUUCAGUCGCCGCGGGGCGCCACCCCUCGGGCCGGGCCCGCCGCUCCAGGGGCACCGACGGCGGCGCAGCAAGACACGGGAGAGCACCGCGCCCCCAGCCCGCCAGGAGCCCCCUGCCCGCCUAGACCUCGCCCGACCCCCCGGAGGCAGCCCGAGCUAAAAUUAGCGCCGAGCGCGCGGCGCGCUCACGUGCGCCCCGCGGGACGGGGUGCGGGUGAGUCACGGCCCCGCCCCCCUCGCCGAGGACGCGCUGACGUCAGCCGCUUCCCCGAAGGAUGACGUCAGCGCGCCUCGGGGAGGCCGCGAGGCCUCCGUAGAACGUUCACUGAGUUUCGAUGUCUUAAAGGGACCAGGCCUUGGAUCGUGAAAGAUCUAGAGCGAUGACUGCUCUCGCUCACCCGUGGAGGCAGAACUUGUCUUAUAUCUCUUUGUCCGGAGAAGUGUUGGCUAAGAUGAUGUUGAAAAAAAGAAGAGCACCUGAACCUCAUUGGAAGCUCCCCGAAGCCUCAGAACCUCCUCCUGGAAGCCCUCUGUGAUUAACCGGAAUCUCAUCCUUACUCAAAAGUCAGGAAGUUUUCUAUGGCCCUUGACUCCCUAUCCCUUCACUUCCAGCUGCUCCCCGUAUGCUUAUAUCUCUGCUCGUAGAGAAAGGCUGUGCUUUGAAUGUUUAUGUAUAUAAUCCAUCAAUUUAGGGCAGCUUGGCCCAUUUAUCUGUGUCCGAACUCUGCCAUUAGUCAUGUGACCUGCAGCAAGUUAUUUAACUCUGGGUCUGAAAUUCCUGAACUGGUCCCCAAACCCUCCUCUUAUGCUAAUACUGCCUGCGAAAUUUCCAGAGGUUCGAUCUUACAGCUGGAUCUUUCAGCCCUGUCGCAAUAGCCUCACAGGGAGCUAACAAUUUACUGAGGUUUACUAUGUGGCAGGUGUUUUCAUUAUCCUCUUUGUCCCCCUCGUUUAACCCUAUCGCCCGCCCCUCUGAGGUUGAUAUUAAUUGCCCCAUUUUACUGACAAAGAAGGAAAUCUAAAUGUGUUUCCCUAGGUUACACAGCUAAAGAAUGGCAAACAGGAAGUCAUUCCCAGGUCAGCUGGACUCUGAGUCUGUGUUUUGGUGACGAAGAUGGGCUAUGAAAUCUAUGUCUUAUUCGGGGUAUGUUGAGUCCCCUAGAACCUGCUUUUUCCCUUUUAAUGCAAUCCCAGGGCCUCUGACCCAGUGACCCACUCCACCCCAGAAGAUCCCUGGAGAAGGAGGGUCAGGCAGGUGAGAAGGUGCCCUGUUGCAGGUGCUCAUCCUGCGUUUCCACCCUAAGCACCUCACUCGCCUCACCCUAGGCCCAGCCCUGCCAGGCCUACCCUUGACUCUCUUUUCUCUCUUGAAACCAGAGAGGGCAUCCCUCUUAAAGCAUCCCCAUCUGGCACACCAGCAGCCAGCUCCACCCAAGUGCAGAAGAAAUACCUUGUUUCUCCUCCAUCAUAAUCUCCUCUGUAAAGCAACAGAAAAUUUCCUGUUGGAACAGCAUUUUCAUGCCAAAAACAAAUUAGAGACAACAACAGCUUCUCAAAGUUUUAAACAAAAUGAUGGUGCCUAUGUGCUGGAAACGGAGCCAAGUGGGUGACCUGAAGCCACUGUUAUCUUCCGACAAUCAUUGUUGGUCCUUGGCUGAGUGUCACAGCCCCAUCCUCAGGCCACACAUGCCCGGUCUACCAGGAGCACCUUCCGCCCCUGGCUCACCCCUGGGAGACAUUUAAACUGACCCCCCUCUUUCAUACCCAGUCUCCAGCCGCCACAGAGCUCUCCUUUGUGUCCCCUGCUCCUGUCUCCUCUAUCAAUGGGAGUCACUGCCCGCUGCCCUUCCUGUACUGCCAGGUUUUCUGGAGCCUGUGACCAAACCCCUGGUGUGUGUUCCCACCACAACCUCAGGAGGAGAUGGAGAAAACCACAGACGGCCUCAGCCGUGAGGUCAGCGGCUUGUUCCCUUGCACUUGGCUUGGACGUACAGACAUGGAAGCUUAGAGCAGUAUGAGACCUUCAGGCCAACCAGGCCAGCCCCUGUUUUAUAACUAAGGGACUGAGGUGCAGGUUUUGACUUUUUAUCUCCCAGCCUUCACUUCCCAUCAUCUUCCUAUCUCAGAAGCCCCAUUUAAUGUUGUUAAGAGCCGUAAAUGUAACUGGCCACUAAUGUGGAAGGAUUGUGAUCUCCAGCAAACGGCCCCAGCAAAGAAAGGAGCAGGAAUCCUGGGUCUGUUCCCAACCGUGCCAGUGACUCACUGGAUGACACAAAGUAAUGUGGUUCUUUUGUUGGGGGGAGAGAUGUGAGAAGACGACGCACACAGCUGCUCGCCUGACAGAGGUGAAAGGGUGGAGGAGAAGCCAUUUGACAGGCUCCCAGCAUAGUGGAGGCUCAGGGGUCCCUGGGUGAAUCCAGUUCCAUAGUAACUGCUUAGCAAUGGCCGGCUGGGUCAGCCCUGAGCUCUGGCCCACUUGAGCCCCUGCCUCCGAUGGAGCCGCUAAGAUGGCGUGGGCUGGAUUAUGGCACUUACCCUUCAUGACAUCAUUCUCAUUGGUUAGGAAUGCGCCCUGGUUGUUCCUAACUCCACUUUAAUAACUUGUUAUAGAUCUGCCCUCCAGGAAUUUGUUUGAAACUUUCUUUAAUCUAUUUAUAUUUCAGCCUGUGCAGCCUUUUCAGGCGGCAAGUAGACUGACCAUUUAUGUAAAAGCACUUAGGUCCUAAAACACAGAAAGUGCUAUAUUAGGGUUCUUAUCAUAAUAAAACGUUUGUAAUUAUAAUGUAUUUAAUAAUGAUAUUAUAAUUUGAUGAUAACAGUGAAUUCAGGUGGUCUCACAGGCUUAUUUUUAGUCACUCACUCUGUUUGUCUUUGUCUUUAUCUCCCCACGCACCACUCCCUAGCCAUCAAAAAGUAUUUAUUAAUGGAGUGAGGGGCUGUCAUGGGUAUAACAAUGCAUGCAAACUUAGAUAAACACAUUCAGUGUCCUCUAAAGACUUACCAUCUACCACCAACAUACAGUAGGUGCUCAAUAAAUACUUGUUGGGCGAAUGGAUGGAUGGAAGGAAUUAAAAAAACCUGCGUGGUAACUGGUGAGACAUAUUAGGAAUGACUAUUUUGGGGGUUGGAGAGCAAACCUGAGAGCAUCAUGGGCAAGGAGGGAAAAGGGAACAUCCUGAUUUUCUGGUCAAUGCGCACGUGUGAGCUCUCCUCAGAUUGGCCCUAGAGCUCAUCCUGGAGGAAGAGCUGGUUUCCAGGCUGCUGAAAUGAUGCCUAGAGGAGGCAGGCCAAGGGGCACCCCCAUGGCAGGUGCCAUAUGGGUUGCAGGAGUGAGGAGGCAGGUACGGGGUCCAGAAGAGAAAGACCGGUCCCUGUGGCUAUCUCUAUUUUCAGUAGGAACCACACCGGAAUGUUUUAAAAAUCCCAUGACUCAGUAGGUGAAUGGCCAAAUAAAUUGUGGUACAUCCAAACAAUGGAAUAUUAUUCAAUGCCAAAAAGAAAUGAGCUAUCAAGCCAUGAAAACACAUGGAGGAAACUUAAGUGUGCAUAUCAAUAAGUGAAAGGAGCCAACUGAAAAGGCUAUGUGCUGUAUGAUUCCAACUAUAUGACCUACUGGAAAAGGCAAAACUACGGAGACAGUAAGAAGAUCAGUGGUUGUCAGGGGUUAGUGGGGAGGGAGGGAUGAAUAGGCGGAGCGCAGAGGAUUUUUAGGGCAAACUACUCUGUGUGAUACUGUAAUGGUGCAUAUGUGUCAUUAGACAUUUGUCCAAACCCACGGAACAUACACCACCAAGAGUGAACCCUAAUGUAAACUGUGGACUUUGGGGGAUUACGAUGUGUCAGUGUAGGUUCAUCAGUUGUAACAAAUGUACCACUCUGGUCCAUCUGGU
This 9192-nucleotide long non-coding RNA is filed under the name Equus asinus (donkey). RNAcentral describes it as "lncRNA (ENSEASG00005037055.1)". Lineage: Eukaryota; Metazoa; Chordata; Mammalia; Perissodactyla; Equidae. The record is from RNAcentral.